This 512-nucleotide ribosomal RNA is filed under the name Meyerozyma caribbica. Its description in RNAcentral is "partial large subunit ribosomal RNA". It matches the Rfam family "Eukaryotic large subunit ribosomal RNA", at positions 62 to 579 of the family's 3401-position model. Lineage: Eukaryota; Fungi; Ascomycota; Pichiomycetes; Serinales; Debaryomycetaceae. The record is from RNAcentral.
AAACCAACAGGGAUUGCCUUAGUAGCGGCGAGUGAAGCGGCAAAAGCUCAAAUUUGAAAUCUGGCACCUUCGGUGUCCGAGUUGUAAUUUGAAGAUUGUAACCUUGGGGUUGGCUCUUGUCUAUGUUUCUUGGAACAGGACGUCACAGAGGGUGAGAAUCCCGUGCGAUGAGAUGCCCAAUCCUAUGUAAGGUGCUUUCGAAGAGUCGAGUUGUUUGGGAAUGCAGCUCUAAGUGGGUGGUAAAUUCCAUCUAAAGCUAAAUAUUGGCGAGAGACCGAUAGCGAACAAGUACAGUGAUGGAAAGAUGAAAAGAACUUUGAAAAGAGAGUGAAAAAGUACGUGAAAUUGUUGAAAGGGAAGGGUUUGAGAUCAGACUCGAUAUUUUGUGAGCCUUGCCUUCGUGGCGGGGUGACCCGCAGCUUAUCGGGCCAGCAUCGGUUUGGGCGGUAGGAUAAUGGCGUAGGAAUGUGACUUUGCUUCGGUGAAGUGUUAUAGCCUGCGUUGAUGCUGCC